UAUGAUGUAGUCAUGGCUGCCCUCU
RNAcentral lists this non-coding RNA (25 nucleotides) under Rattus norvegicus (Norway rat). Lineage: Eukaryota; Metazoa; Chordata; Mammalia; Rodentia; Muridae. The record is from RNAcentral.